CUUUUGACGUUGUCAUUAUUAUAGUAUGUGGAUUUGUUAUUUUCCCGUCAAUCGUCAUAUGUUGUGUCUCCUCCUAUAGGAAGCCUAUAGGCGGUGAUGAUGGUGGAGGUUGUGGAGGCGGUGAGGGAGGUUCCGGUGGCUGUGGAGGGGACUGAGUUUCGUAUAGUCAUGUCUUGUGUCGUGGGAUUUGAUAAUGAUCUCCUUUAUUAUCCAUGCAUGUAUAGGUAAGAUUUAAACUCGUGAUUUGUGACCCAAAAAAAAAACAUGUUAUAUAGAAGAAAAAAAAUUGUAUCAUGAGCUGAAGAUAUGAUUGUGUAAAUGUAAAUUGCUG
This 331-nucleotide small RNA is filed under the name Arabidopsis thaliana (thale cress). RNAcentral describes it as "putative long intergenic non-coding RNA". Lineage: Eukaryota; Viridiplantae; Streptophyta; Magnoliopsida; Brassicales; Brassicaceae. The record is from RNAcentral.